This 473-nucleotide ribosomal RNA is filed under the name uncultured bacterium. Its description in RNAcentral is "bacterial SSU rRNA". It matches the Rfam family "Bacterial small subunit ribosomal RNA", at positions 29 to 524 of the family's 1533-position model. The record is from RNAcentral.
AAUGAACGUUGGCGGCGUGGAUUAGGCAUGCAAGUCGAGCGAGUCCAUCUUGUAGCAAUAUGAGGUGAGUCGAGCGGCGUAAGGGGCAGUAAUACCUGGGAACGUACCCUGAGGUCGGGGAUAGCUGCUGGAAACGGCGAGUAAUACCCGAUGAUCUUGGAAAAGCAAAGGCUUGCCGCCUUGGGAGCGGCCCAGGCGAUAUUAGCUAGUUGGUGGGGUAAUGGCCUACCAAGGCAUAGAUGUCUAGCGGGUGUGAGAGCACGACCCGCGCCACUGGCACUGAGACACUGGCCAGACACCUACGGGUGGCUGCAGUCGAGAAUCUUCGGCAAUGAGCGCAAGCUUGACCGAGCGACGCCGCGUGCGGGAUGAAGGCCUUCGGUUGUAACCGCUUUGGUCCGAAAGAAAGGGUAAAACUUAGAUCGAUCGGAGAAACAAGGACGGGCUAAGUUCGUGCCAGCAGCCGCGGUAAG